This 253-nucleotide ribosomal RNA is filed under the name uncultured bacterium. Its description in RNAcentral is "partial 16S ribosomal RNA". It matches the Rfam family "Bacterial small subunit ribosomal RNA", at positions 524 to 776 of the family's 1533-position model. The record is from RNAcentral.
UACGUAGGGUGCGAGCGUUGCCCGGAUUUAUUGGGCGUAAAGGGCGCGUAGGCGGCUCGGCACGUCCGUUGUGAAAUCGCCCGGCUCAACUGGGCGGGGUCAGCGGAUACGGUCGAGCUUGAGCAAGCUAGGGGGUAAUGGAAUUCCCGGUGUAGUGGUGAAAUGCGUAGAUAUCUGGAGGAACACCGGUGGCGAAGGCGGCAUCCUGGACCGACACUGACGCUGAGGAGCGAAAGCCAGGGGAGCAAACGGG